GAUGAACGCUGGCGGCGUGCCUAAUACAUGCAAGUCGAGCGAACGGACGAGGAGCUUGCUCCUCUGACGUUAGCGGCGGACGGGUGAGUAACACGUGGAUAACCUACCUAUAAGACUGGGAUAACUUCGGGAAACCGGAGCUAAUACCGGAUAAUAUAUUGAACCGCAUGGUUCAAUAGUGAAAGACGGUUUUGCUGUCACUUAUAGAUGGAUCCGCGCCGCAUUAGCUAGUUGGUAAGGUAACGGCUUACCAAGGCAACGAUGCGUAGCCGACCUGAGAGGGUGAUCGGCCACACUGGAACUGAGACACGGUCCAGACUCCUACGGGAGGCAGCAGUAGGGAAUCUUCCGCAAUGGGCGAAAGCCUGACGGAGCAACGCCGCGUGAGUGAUGAAGGUCUUCGGAUCGUAAAACUCUGUUAUUAGGGAAGAACAUAUGUGUAAGUAACUGUGCACAUCUUGACGGUACCUAAUCAGAAAGCCACGGCUAACUACGUG
RNAcentral lists this ribosomal RNA (497 nucleotides) under uncultured bacterium. RNAcentral describes it as "partial 16S ribosomal RNA". It matches the Rfam family "Bacterial small subunit ribosomal RNA", at positions 28 to 507 of the family's 1533-position model. The record is from RNAcentral.